AUCAUCGUGGGGGUCGGCC
RNAcentral lists this microRNA (19 nucleotides) under Gallus gallus (chicken). Its description in RNAcentral is "gga-miR-12252-5p". Lineage: Eukaryota; Metazoa; Chordata; Aves; Galliformes; Phasianidae. The record is from miRBase by way of RNAcentral.